Molecule: ribosomal RNA, 468 nt
Filed under: uncultured bacterium
Lineage: Bacteria
Description: partial 16S ribosomal RNA
Rfam family: Bacterial small subunit ribosomal RNA
Source: RNAcentral
GACGAACGCUGGCGGCGUGCUUAACACAUGCAAGUCGAACGGAAAGGCCCUGCUUUUGUGGGGUGCUCGAGUGGCGAACGGGUGAGUAACACGUGAGUAACCUGCCCUUGACUUUGGGUUAACUUCCGGAAACUGGGGCUAAUACCGGAUAGGAGCUCCUGCUGCAUGGUGGGGGUUGGAAAGUUUCGGCGGUUGGGGAUGGACGCGCGGCUUAUCAGCUUGUUGGUGGGGUAGUGGCUUACCAAGGCUUUGACGGGUAGCCGGCCUGAGAGGGUGACCGGCCACAUUGGGACUGAGAUACGGCCCAGACUCCUACGGGAGGCAGCAGUGGGGAAUAUUGCACAGUGAGCGGAAGCCUGAUGCAGCAACGCCGCGUGCGGGAUGACGGCCUUCGGGUUGUAAACCGCUUUCGCCUGUGACGAAGCGUGAGUGACGGUAAUGGGUAAAGAAGCACCGGCUAACUACGUG